CUCCUUUUGAAUCCUACUGCUGGCCAGGAAAUGCUUGAAGCUUCUGCAGCUGAUGGAUACAAAGCUCCUGAGCUUCUCAAAAUGAAAGAUGCAAGUGAACAGACUGAUAUGUACAGCCUUGGGAUAAUCUUGCUCGAACUACUUUCAGGGAAAGAACCAAUCAAUGAGAAUCCAACCCCUGAUGAUGAUUUUCAUCUGCCA
Molecule: unclassified non-coding RNA, 201 nt
Filed under: Hevea brasiliensis (rubber tree)
Lineage: Eukaryota; Viridiplantae; Streptophyta; Magnoliopsida; Malpighiales; Euphorbiaceae
Source: RNAcentral